Xenia sp. Carnegie-2017 is the source of this 946-nucleotide RNA transcript. RefSeq lists it as uncharacterized. The transcript has 3 exons. The record is from RefSeq and is a predicted model, not a curated record. Lineage: Eukaryota; Metazoa; Cnidaria; Anthozoa; Malacalcyonacea; Xeniidae.
GAGCCGGGAAGAAAUGGGAAAGAAACAAGACAUGUCAACGUUGAUUCAAAUGGUUAAAGAACUGCAAAGGCAGAAUGCUGUUUUGCAAAAUAAAAUGUUAGAGAUUCAAAACGAGUUUACAAUGGAAAGGAAUCGUAGAUCAAUCGAGUAUGUCCGAAUGAGUCAAGAUAAACAAAACGCUACUACUCAAUUUCGAGGUUACAGUGAGAGCAUAGAAACCUUUAAUCCAGAGGAGACAAGAGCUGAGUCUAAGCGAAAGGCUUGGGGAAAAGUACAAAACGAUCAUAAGAAAUUCAGUGUACCGAAUUCAAGUGACUAUGGCGUCGGUGAUGAUUUGAAGUAUUCUGAAGGAGAUUUUGACGAAGAGAGAGAAGCAAGGGAGAACGAUCCCGAAUUAAAUGAAUUAAAGAGACAGCAUAGUCAAAUGGAUACAUACGAAGAUAAAGAUGGGGUAGUCGUUCAUGAUGAUGUAACAAUUUCUGUGAAUGAAAAUGAGGCUGAAGACAGUAGACUAUUUAAUAACAAUGAUAAACUGUCAAUGAUUCUUCGUACUGAUUCCAGUGUUGUCUGAAAUGCUGAAACAGCAAAUCCUUAGGAACUCAUUCCACCGAGUUAACCACAAUUUGCUACUAUGGAAACUGUCGUCAAUAUGGUUAGAGAUUUCCCCAAAGUGGUAGCGCAUGAUUUUAACAAGAUGUGUCAUUUUGACAGGAAGAAAAUGUUUUUAAUGUGUUAUAAUUCUAGAAUACAAACCUUCUUACCAAAGGUUCCAAAACCAAUUACUAUCGAGACGAUUUAGGUCGAGCGAAACACGCUCUCAUUGUCAGCGUUAUUUUCGAGGUUCUUGUCUGUGUGUUCAAGAUCCGCCCUGGUAUUUUUGCGUUGGAUGAAGAACUCUUUAUUAAAAUGUUUAAAACAAAAAGAUUAAAUAGAAAUUCCAAAGCAA